UUCAUGUGCUGGGGCACCAUGCCAGUGUUGCAACUGCUGCAGAAGUGAACUGUUUACCUUGUUUCUGAAACCAGUUGUGGACAUCAGAAGGAGCAAGGAGCAAGUAACCACCAAGACACAAGCUGAGAGAGGUGAAAUAAUCACUUAAAUGAAGACAGCAGGGCCCCACAGAGAAGACAGGUAGAUCUACAGUGCUUUAUUACAGUAAUUUAGAAAGAAAUUCCCCUUUUAGCUCUGAAUUCUUUGAAAGGAUGUGAUACAGUACAUUUGUAGUUGUGAGAUGCAGGAAAAUUUAAAACUUGCUAAGUAAGAGGUUACUGAUGGUUUACAGGAGGAGCACUAAUAGCUAAGCCUCUAGAAACCUUGAAGGGAUGGGAUGCCUCUGUGAUUGGAUUUUAGGGAAAAGGAAGAAUUGCUAAGGAAACUAAGUACAUGCUCUUAAAUAAGAUUCA
Molecule: long non-coding RNA, 452 nt
Filed under: Coturnix japonica (Japanese quail)
Lineage: Eukaryota; Metazoa; Chordata; Aves; Galliformes; Phasianidae
Description: lncRNA (ENSCJPG00005018382.1)
Source: RNAcentral